This is a non-coding RNA of Schistosoma margrebowiei, 45 nucleotides long. The record is from Rfam. Lineage: Eukaryota; Metazoa; Platyhelminthes; Trematoda; Strigeidida; Schistosomatidae.
AUUCAGCUGAUGAGUCUUGAAUAAGACGAAACGCGCGUCCUGAAU